RNAcentral lists this ribosomal RNA (468 nucleotides) under uncultured bacterium. Its description in RNAcentral is "partial 16S ribosomal RNA". It matches the Rfam family "Bacterial small subunit ribosomal RNA", at positions 28 to 507 of the family's 1533-position model. The record is from RNAcentral.
GACGAACGCUGGCGGCGUGCUUAACACAUGCAAGUCGAGCGGAAAGGCCCUGCUUUUGUGGGGUGCUCGAGUGGCGAACGGGUGAGUAACACGUGAGUAACCUGCCCUUGACUUUGGGAUAACUUCAGGAAACUGGGGCUAAUACCGGAUAGGAGCUCCUGCUGCAUGGUGGGGGUUGGAAAGUUUCGGCGGUUGGGGAUGGACUCGCGGCUUAUCAGCUUGUUGGUGGGGUAGUGGCUUACCAAGGCUUUGACGGGUAGCCGGCCUGAGAGGGUGACCGGCCACAUUGGGACUGAGAUACGGCCCAGACUCCUACGGGAGGCAGCAGGGGGGAAUAUUGCACAAUGGGCGGAAGCCUGAUGCAGCAACGCCGCGUGCGGGAUGACGGCCUUCGGGUUGUAAACCGCUUUCGCCUGUGACGAAGCGUGAGUGACGGUAAUGGGUAAAGAAGCCCCGGCUAACUACGUG